AGAUCAAAUUGUUGGUCGUGCCUCGGUACGUACUGGCAUUAUUGAUUUCUCCCUUCUGAAGAACCACGAUGUCAUUAAUUUGGUGUCGUGGGGAAUCAGGACUGUUACUUUGAAAAAAUUAGAGUGUUUAAAGCAGGCUCACGCUUGAAUACAUUAGCAUGGAAUAAUGAAAUAGGACGUUUGAUUCUAUUUUGUUGGUUUCUAGGAUCGACGUAAUGAUUAAUAGGGAUAGUUGGG
RNAcentral lists this ribosomal RNA (237 nucleotides) under uncultured Glomus. RNAcentral's name for it is "partial small subunit ribosomal RNA". The stretch from base 37 to 237 matches the Rfam family "Eukaryotic small subunit ribosomal RNA", at positions 684 to 886 of the family's 1831-position model. Lineage: Eukaryota; Fungi; Glomeromycota; Glomeromycetes; Glomerales; Glomeraceae. The record is from RNAcentral.